RNAcentral lists this long non-coding RNA (1244 nucleotides) under Pan troglodytes (chimpanzee). RNAcentral describes it as "lncRNA (ENSPTRG00000054533.1)". Lineage: Eukaryota; Metazoa; Chordata; Mammalia; Primates; Hominidae. The record is from RNAcentral.
GAUUAAAUGAAGAGAAUCUGAAAUCACUCCUGAUCCAGGCGAAGUAAACAAGUGUCUAUUUCCAAGACUGUUCUACAAAUAGAACACAGGCCUGACACAGAGGACAUGUGUCGGAUUCCCCACCACACACACACACACACACCACACCACACACACACACACACCACACACACACACACACACACACAACGAGUCUGUCAUUCUUAAUGUCUGAAGAUGAGGUUUUGCUUUUGCAUUCUUUGCUUUAGUUCCGUGGAUCCUGACAAGUACCUGAUUCUCUACAGCAAUGGCCAGGGAUGUGUGACCGUUCUGCUUCUGGCAUCUCUGAACUACUAGGAUUCUAUGAAAGCUGUCAUUUCCAGCUCCAUGCAUGGGCCCAGCGCUCUGGUAAUAGGAUCUUUGGUUGGGCUCCCUGCCUACCUGAGCAAAAGCAGAAACAGCAGCAGCAGCAGCAGCAACAGAAGACAGGAAUCCCUGAAGAGCCCAAACACAGAUGGUCCUGCCUGCUGCCCGGCCAGGCCCACCCACUGGGGAGGAGGCAGAAGCAGAGAAGGUGACUCUUCUUGUCUCUUAUUAGAGAAGGAGGGAGAAACAUCUUGUUUUUCCUACCCGCAUCACUUUUAUUCUUCAGACUAUCUGUGGUUUAACACCUGGGGGUGAAAGAAGAAGAAAACACUAGUCAUCACUGAAAAUGAACCUGAGACCUUUAAAAAUCAGCAACCUGUCAGGAAAUUGACUGAUCAUAUUAAGAAACUGUAUAUCGUUUUCCUGUGAAUAUUGUUAGGGUGCACUAUGGGAACAACAAAUGUCAAGCAAAAGACGAAAGAGAUAAGGAAUGUUAGAAAAGAUGUUAAGACAAGAAAAGGCCAAGCAUUCCUUGGUUUGCCCCAAAGGCGAGCAGAAUGUGAUCAAACAAUCUUUUGUAACUACAAAGGAGUCAAGACGUUUUCAUUCUGUAAGGAAAGAACUUGCUGCUGACAGGUGGAAAGAAUCAAAUAAUUAGAGUCUGGAAUGCUUAUCUGCCUGGGUAAGCUGUCUUUCUCCAACCAAGAGUGCCAUUGAUGUAGUAAGGUGCACGAAAGCUGGAGUAGGGGCCCCUAAAUUCCUAUUAGAAUAACUUAAGAAUUUACACCCAAAAUUAAUCCCCCAUAUGCACAGCCUGUGAAACUUCCUUUUGUGGCCUUUAAAGAUUCAUUCUUUGGGGUUUAUUACAACUCAUUUAAAAUGUAAAUACUUUACAAGGA